AAUCAAUGAUGAAAAGGUUUUAAUACAGACCUUUAUAACUACAAGGGUUUCUACACUUUCUCUGAGCUCA
This is a small nucleolar RNA of Lynx canadensis (Canada lynx), 70 nucleotides long. Ensembl annotates it as small nucleolar RNA U2-30. NCBI's taxonomy places the organism in Eukaryota, Metazoa, Chordata, Mammalia, Carnivora, Felidae. The record is from Ensembl.